UACGGAGGAUGCGAGCGUUAUUCGGAUUUAUUGGGUUUAAAGGGUGCGCAGGCGGGUCUUUAAGGCAGCGGUGAAAUUUCGACGCUCAACGUCGAACCUGCCGUUGAAACUGGAGACCUUGAGUAUGGAUGAAGUAGGCGGAAUUCGUUGUGUAGCGGUGAAAUGCAUAGAUAUAACGAGGAACCCCGAUUGCGUAGGCAGCUUACUAAGCCAUAACUGACGCUCAUGCACGAAAGCGUGGGUAUCAAACAGGAUUAGAUACCCUGGUAGUCCACGCCGUAAACUAUGAUUACUAGUUGUUUGCGAUAUGACCGUAAGUGACUAAGCGAAAGCGAUAAGUAAUCCACCUGGGGAGUACGCCGGCAACGGUGAA
RNAcentral lists this ribosomal RNA (373 nucleotides) under uncultured bacterium. Its description in RNAcentral is "bacterial SSU rRNA". It matches the Rfam family "Bacterial small subunit ribosomal RNA", at positions 524 to 898 of the family's 1533-position model. The record is from RNAcentral.